CGUCUUCUCGCAUGCUGCCAAAGUCUGAAACAACGCAAAACAUAAAGAAACCUGCAAUUUUUUUUCAUUUAGUGUAAUAUAGACAGUCUGCGUUCCAUUUCUCGACGCAAAGGCCAAGACCAUUGUUUGGAUUCGAGCAUGUCAACGAAUUACGAUGGUUGGGUUUUGAGAAUCGGCGAGCAUCUCGGUGACAUGUUCUCGCAGUAUUGAUUCCAUUUUCUGCCGGAAUCGGAAGGUUAGGGCUAGGGUUUUUGAGUUCUCUAUCUCUUUGUUUUCUUUCAAUUUCAUCUGCUUUAACCUAUCAUGGAGAUCGACUUGGAUCAAUUUCAUUUGCUAUAAUGGUCGGGUUUUUUUUUUCGUAUUCAAUCCAAUCCAAACCGGGUUUAGAUUUGCUGGAUAA
Molecule: long non-coding RNA, 400 nt
Organism: Hevea brasiliensis (rubber tree)
Lineage: Eukaryota; Viridiplantae; Streptophyta; Magnoliopsida; Malpighiales; Euphorbiaceae
Exons: 2
Source: RefSeq, a predicted model, not a curated record